GCCCAGCGCUGAAUCCUAUAACCAUAGGUUAUCAGGAGUUGUAGCGUAAAGGUGUAGCUAUCCAGUUGUUUUGCCCAUCCAAAGUCCCCUUGAGUGGGGCUACAGUCCAUAGACGGUGCUAGACCUGUACGGAUGGCUGAGCCUCUGGCAAUGGUUGCACUUUGGAGUCGGGUUGCCUGAGAUCGCAGCCCAAAGAGGGUGGUAAACCUCAUCUAAGGCUAAAUACGGCCACGAGACCGAUAGCAAACAAGUACCGUGAGGGAAAGUUGCAAAGAACUUUGAAGAGAGAGUUCAAGAGGGCGUGAAACUGCUGAGAAGGAAACGGAUAGAGUUGACGAAACUUGUCGGCAUUCAGCCGGUUGGCUUAGCGGCCUUGCGGUUUCGAUCCUCGAUGAGGGCGACGGCGUGAGUCGCUGCUUAGUCGAUUGGUGUAUUUGCCGGCAGUAUGCGCCGAGUGCUUUGUUUACGCGUGUUGAACUUCGUCUAGUGGACCGCAUCUUCCGGGUGUGGAACCCUGUUCGGAGGAAAGCACGUCGUCGAUAACGCUUAGUGUGUCACUUUCACGAUGUCACUGGUUGUACGUUAGCUGACAGGCUGUGGGUGGUCGCUUGCGACAUAUCUGUGGUAACUGUUGGUUGGCGAGCAACUAGGCGAGUUAUGGUGACUUUUCGGUGUGAACGUUGACCACCUAUCCGACC
Molecule: ribosomal RNA, 698 nt
Filed under: Grassenema procaviae
Lineage: Eukaryota; Metazoa; Nematoda; Chromadorea; Rhabditida; Atractidae
Description: partial 28S ribosomal RNA
Rfam family: Eukaryotic large subunit ribosomal RNA
Source: RNAcentral